GAAUCUUUUGUGUAUGUGUGUGUAGCAUCAUAAAUGGUUUCCAUGGAAAUGAAAGUCUUGGCUAGAAUGGUUUGGAUGUAUGCGUGAACUUUAGAAUUAAACAAGGGCUACUGUUUUUGUCUGAGUUUCAUGUAUAAAGAUGUCCCAAGGGACUUUGGGAUGGAUGUCACCAACUCCUUGGUUCCCUACCAUGUUCCGGCCCACGCCUGGGGCUCCCUGGGAAACACCCCAGCGCCUCACGAUCCUCAAACUUGAGGCUUUCUGUUGCUUUUGGCAUGUGUGCGUAAAUGUCAACAGGACGAUUGAACUGCCUGAACUGUCCUUGAAAACCCUGACUUUAGGCCAGACUGUCCCCCUCUCUGCUGUGGACCGCAGUGUUGAAAAGUGUUCUGGUUCCGGAGAUGGUAUCAGCGGCGGGACAACAUGGAUAUCAAUGAAGGCAGAACCCAGGAGAGCCCAUAAAUCCCACCAAGCCUGUCCGAGCUGUCAAAUUAUGUCCUGAUAAAGCUGCCGGUGGCUGAUGGCAUGGCCACCAGGCGGGGCUUUCUGGGAGCACCGGGCCCAGCAUGCAGACACUGGUCACGCACACGAUGUCACCUCCAGGCUCUGUGCCUCUAAUAAAGGGCAGCACUUUGAAUACGAUCAUCUCUAAAAUAAUAAUAAGGGCAAUUUAAAAAUAAACAAAGCCCUGGAUGUAAAGGCUACUUAGUGUCCCGGGACCAAGAUUAAUGGCAAGUGGC
Molecule: long non-coding RNA, 740 nt
Filed under: Fukomys damarensis (Damara mole-rat)
Lineage: Eukaryota; Metazoa; Chordata; Mammalia; Rodentia; Bathyergidae
Description: lncRNA (ENSFDAG00000027195.1)
Source: RNAcentral